Molecule: long non-coding RNA, 684 nt
Organism: Apis florea (little honeybee)
Lineage: Eukaryota; Metazoa; Arthropoda; Insecta; Hymenoptera; Apidae
Source: RefSeq, a predicted model, not a curated record
GCAAAAAAAAAAAAAAACGUGAUAAUUCUCUUCAAGAAUAAUAAAAUAAAUUAUCUCUCGUUAAUGAUACAUGAAUUACUCAACACUGAAAUAUCCGUCGAACGUUUCUAAUCGAUGCAUAAUAAAUCAAAAGCCACCGACAAGUCGCGCCUCCAUCGGCCGUGUUUCCAAGCAAAUCGUUCCUCGGGUCGCGGUUCCAUUCACUGGCAUUGACGUCACUGAAAGCAACCGAGGUCCCGGUAAACGUGUGCACAGGCGACCGUUAGGCAGUAGCAUCCGCAAAACUCGAUCCUUGGGCAGAAUCUGGUUGCGUCACGCGCCGAUACAAGCGAACGGACACACGGACGCUCGUCUCGAAGUCUGGCAGUUCUUGAUGCAGGCUUCGAUCCCGGCGAAAGAUGAGCAAACUCGAGAUCCGUGAGAGAUUCGCCGUACUUCCUCGAUGGAACGACUUUUCUGACCACUUCUGCACGAACGACAGCCAAUGUAAGGCUACGAAGAUGCGGAUUUUCUUGCUGUCAAGAAAUCCCGUACAGGGAUCAUCUUUGAUCGAUCGAUAUUCCCGAAUAGACGAGCCAUCUUCGAACCGAAGCGCUUAUUUUUCUUUAUUUUGAGAUACAGCUUUGAUUGGCGCUAUCUGUGUGUAAUGUAUAAUCGAACAGAUUAGGAAUUUUUACAGGGAUG